GAAGAUGAUGAAACAGGAGUGGACGUACCUGCCAGGACAAACAGAUGGUUCCCAGGCUCUCCCUGCUUGAUGACGUACUCUCCCUGCUGGUGUCACUUUCACCACAACAAGCUGGCAGGAUGCCUACAGGUCAGCCUCAGUGUGACCUACAUCCCUCUGGGUCGGCCUGGUCAGCGGAGAGGCAGGAGGAGAUGCGGGCUGACAGGCGUGAUUGAAAGACUCCAAAGGCCUCGAGGGGAAUGAAUCCACACGGCAUCAACUGAGGAGAGCAUUCAAAUCUUUCCGUCCCUGCAGCGAACAACAGCAAAGAAAAAACCUAAAACGGGAUGAUUGGCGCCUAAAUGCUGCCUCUGUUGCUCCUCCUCUCAGAGUCAACAGCACAGAGGACGCCCUGAGCCCAUCACAAACCAGCCCCUCCCUUAAAGGAGAGGUCACAGGGGCGAGGAACAUACCAGACUUCUUGGGAACUUUCCGUUUCACGACCCCGACCUCUUGUUUGCAUUUCUGAGCUCCAAAAAAAAAAAAACACCCAAAAGGUUCCCUCACAUGCCUCAGGGAGUCAGAUACAUAUUGACAGUACACUCCGUCUCUGUGGAAACGGGCA
Long non-coding RNA from Anoplopoma fimbria (sablefish), 604 nucleotides. RefSeq lists it as uncharacterized. The record is from RefSeq and is a predicted model, not a curated record. NCBI's taxonomy places the organism in Eukaryota, Metazoa, Chordata, Actinopteri, Perciformes, Anoplopomatidae. The transcript has 4 exons.